GGUUGUUUGUUUUUUUCUUGUAAAUUUGUUUGAGUUCUUUGUAGGUUCUGGAUAUUAGCCCUUUGUCAGAUGAGUAGAUUGCAAAAAUUUUCUCCCAUUCUGUAGGUUGCGUGUUCACUCUGAUGGUAGUUUCUUUUGCAGCGCAGAAGCUCUUUAGUUUAAUUAGAUCCCAUUUGUCAGUUUUGGCUUUUGUUGCCAUUGCUUUUGGUGAUUUAGACAUGAAGUCCUUGCCCAUGCCUAUGUCCUGAAUGGUAUUGCCUAGGUUUUCUACUAGGGUUUUUAUGGUUUUAGGUCUAAGAUUUAAGUCUCUAAUCCAUCCUGAAUUAAGUUUUGUAUAAGGAGUAAGGAAGGGAUCCAAUUUCAGCUUUUAUUUUAAGGCUUGUUUUAUUUUAAUGGCUGAUCUAUGUAAUCACGGAGGCCAGUAUGUACAGACAAAGGGGGAGCUUUUAUUUAUUGGUCUCUUCCUCCUUGGACAAAGUCUUGAUGAUCUCCUCCUUCUUGGCCUGGAGGCAUUCUUCAUGACGUUUGCCUGCUUCCUUGGUCUUAGACCUGCGGGCCUCAGCCUGGUCAGCCAGGAGCUUCUUGAGGGCCUUGUCUGCCUUCAGCUUGUGGAUGUGUUCCAUGAGAAUAUGUGGCCACAGCCGUGAGUAUGCUCAGGCUUCAGAAGAGGCUCGCCUCUAGUGUCCUCCACUGUGGGAAGAAGAAGGUCUGGUUAGACACCAGUGAGACCAAUGAAAUAGCCAGUGCCAACUCCCGUCAGCAGAUCCAGAAGCUGAUCAAAGAUGGGCUGAUCAACUGCAAGCCUGUGACGGUCCAUUCCUGGGUGCGAUGCCAGAAAAACACGUUGGCCCGCCUGAAGGGCAGGCACAUGGGCAUAGGUAAGCGGAAGGGUACAGCCAAUGCCCGAAUGCCAAAGAAGGUCACGUGGAUGAGGAGAAUGAGAAUUCUGCUCCAGUUGCUCAGAAGACACUGUGAGUCUAAGAAGAUUGAUCCACGUGUAUCACAGCCUGUACCUGAAGGUGAAGGGGAAUGUGCUCAAGAAUAGCUCAAAAUAG
Macaca mulatta (Rhesus monkey) is the source of this 1055-nucleotide non-coding RNA. The record is from RefSeq and is a predicted model, not a curated record. Lineage: Eukaryota; Metazoa; Chordata; Mammalia; Primates; Cercopithecidae.